This 213-nucleotide ribosomal RNA is filed under the name uncultured bacterium. RNAcentral's name for it is "partial 16S ribosomal RNA". It matches the Rfam family "Bacterial small subunit ribosomal RNA", at positions 1288 to 1500 of the family's 1533-position model. The record is from RNAcentral.
UCAGUUCGGAUUGUAGUCUGCAACUCGACUACAUGAGGCUGGAAUCGCUAGUAAUCGCGAAUCAGAAUGUCGCGGUGAAUACGUUCCCGGGUCUUGUACACACCGCCCGUCACACCAUGGGAGUCAGCAACGCCCGAAGUCAGUGACCUAACCGAAAGGGAGGAGCUGCCGAAGGCGGGGCCGGUAACUGGGGUGAAGUCGUAACAAGGUACC